GAGUUUGAUCCUGGCUCAGAUUGAACGCUGGCGGCAGGCCUAACACAUGCAAGUCGAGCGGAUGACGGGAGCUUGCUCCUUGAUUCAGCGGCGGACGGGUGAGUAAUGCCUAGGAAUCUGCCUGGUAGUGGGGGACAACGUUUCGAAAGGAACGCUAAUACCGCAUACGUCCUACGGGAGAAAGCAGGGGACCUUCGGGCCUUGCGCUAUCAGAUGAGCCUAGGUCGGAUUAGCUAGUUGGUGGGGUAAUGGCUCACCAAGGCGACGAUCCGUAACUGGUCUGAGAGGAUGAUCAGUCACACUGGAACUGAGACACGGUCCAGACUCCUACGGGAGGCAGCAGUGGGGAAUAUUGGACAAUGGGCGAAAGCCUGAUCCAGCCAUGCCGCGUGUGUGAAGAAGGUCUUCGGAUUGUAAAGCACUUUAAGUUGGGAGGAAGGGCAGUAAGUUAAUACCUUGCUGUUUUGACGUUACCGACAGAAUAAGCACCGGCUAACUCUGUGCCAGCA
RNAcentral lists this ribosomal RNA (509 nucleotides) under uncultured Gammaproteobacteria bacterium. Its description in RNAcentral is "bacterial SSU rRNA". It matches the Rfam family "Bacterial small subunit ribosomal RNA", at positions 9 to 513 of the family's 1533-position model. The record is from RNAcentral. Lineage: Bacteria; Pseudomonadati; Pseudomonadota; Gammaproteobacteria.